UGGGGGAUAUUGCACAAUGGGGGAAACCCUGAUGCAGCGACGCCGCGUGAGUGAAGAAGUAUUUCGGUAUGUAAAGCUCUAUCAACAGGGAAGAUAAUGACAGUACCUGACUAAGAAGCCCCGGCUAACUACGUGCCAGCAGCCGCGGUAAUACGUAGGGGGCAAGCGUUAUCCGGAUUUACUGGGUGUAAAGGGAGCGUAGGCGGCCAGUCAAGUCAGAAGUGAAAGCCCAGGGCUCAACCCUGGGACUGCUUUUGAAACUGUCUGGCUGGAGUGUCGGAGAGGUAAGUGGAAUUCCUAGUGUAGCGGUGAAAUGCGUAGAUAUUAGGAGGAACACCAGUGGCGAAGGCGGCUUACUGGACGAUAACUGACGCUGAGGCUCGAAAGCGUGGGGAGCAAACAGG
This 404-nucleotide ribosomal RNA is filed under the name uncultured bacterium. RNAcentral describes it as "bacterial SSU rRNA". It matches the Rfam family "Bacterial small subunit ribosomal RNA", at positions 355 to 776 of the family's 1533-position model. The record is from RNAcentral.